UCUUCCCUCUUUCUUCGUGCCUAAUACAUGCAAGUCGAGCGAACAGACGAGGAGCUUGCUCCUCUGACGUUAGCGGCGGACGGGUGAGUAACACGUGGAUAACCUACCUAUAAGACUGGGAUAACUUCGGGAAACCGGAGCUAAUACCGGAUAAUAUAUUGAACCGCAUGGUUCAAUAGUGAAAGACGGUUUUGCUGUCACUUAUAGAUGGAUCCGCGCCGCAUUAGCUAGUUGGUAAGGUAACGGAUUACCAAGGCGACGAUGCGUAGCCGACCUGAGAGGGUGAUCGGCCACACUGGAACUGAGACACGGUCCAGACUCCUACGCGAGGCAGCAGUGGAGAAGUUUCCGCAAUGGGCGAAAGCCUGACGGAGCAACGCCGCGUGAGUGCUGAAGGUCUUCGGAUCUUAAAAUUCUGUUAUUCGGGAAGAACAAAUGUGUAAGUAACUAUGCACGUCUUGACGGUACCUAAUCAGAAAGCCACGGCUAACUACGUG
Molecule: ribosomal RNA, 497 nt
Filed under: uncultured bacterium
Lineage: Bacteria
Description: partial 16S ribosomal RNA
Rfam family: Bacterial small subunit ribosomal RNA
Source: RNAcentral